GGGUGUAGCUCAGUUUGGUAGAGCGCUUGGUUCGGGACCAAGAGGCCGUGGGUUCAAGUCCCGCCACU
This 68-nucleotide transfer RNA is filed under the name human gut metagenome. It matches the Rfam family "tRNA", at positions 5 to 66 of the family's 71-position model. From Rfam's summary of the family: Transfer RNA (tRNA) molecules are approximately 80 nucleotides in length. Their secondary structure includes four short double-helical elements and three loops (D, anti-codon, and T loops). Further hydrogen bonds mediate the characteristic L-shaped molecular structure. tRNAs have two regions of fundamental functional importance: the anti-codon, which is responsible for specific mRNA codon recognition, and the 3' end, to which the tRNAs corresponding amino acid is attached (by aminoacyl-tRNA synthetases). tRNAs cope with the degeneracy of the genetic code in two manners: having more than one tRNA (with a specific anti-codon) for a particular amino acid; and 'wobble' base-pairing, i.e. permitting non-standard base-pairing at the 3rd anti-codon position. The record is from RNAcentral.